CUAUACAUGACUCUGCGCAUAUCAAUAAGCGGAGGAAAAGAAACUAACAAGGAUUCCCCUAGUAACGGCGAGUGAAGCGGGAAGAGCUCAAAUUUGAAAUCUUAAAGGGUUUCCCUUUACGAAUUGUAGUUUAAAGAAGUGUUUUCUGUUGAGGUUUUGGUAAAAGUUCUUUGGAAUAGGACAUCAUAGAGGGUGAGAAUCCCGUAUUUGACCUUUACUUUCCAACUUUGUGAUACACUUUCAAAGAGUCGGAUUGUUUGGGAAUGCAGUCCAAAAUGGGUGGUAAAUUUCAUCUAAAGCUAAACAUUGGCGAGAGACCGAUAGCGAACAAGUACCGUGAGGGAAAGAUGAAGAGAACUUUGAAAAGAGAGUUAAACAGUACGUGAAAUUGUCAAAAGGGAAGCGUUUGACACCAGUGUUGUUUUUCUGAAAAUCAAUUAAAGAACUGUCUAUGCUAAGCUGUUUAGACUUUAUCAGCUAUCUGUUUAGUUUUGAGCUUUUCUUUAAUGCACUUUUCAGUUAACAAGUCAACAUCAAUUUCUUUUGCUGUAAAAAAGCUUGAGGAAGGUGGCUUGAGAUUCGUCUUAAGUGUUUAUAGCCUCUUGCCUAUGCAGUCGGAGAGAUUGAGGUCUGCAGCGUAGAUCCUUCGGGGCUAAAUGCAUUUGUGCUAAGUUAUAGCAUUUUAUAGACAACUUGUUGACUAUGAUUUGUCUUGUAGCUUACUCGCUUAUGUUAUUUUACCUACGCUUAGGAUGUUGAUCUACAGAGCGAGAGU
Molecule: ribosomal RNA, 775 nt
Filed under: uncultured Neocallimastigales
Lineage: Eukaryota; Fungi; Neocallimastigomycota; Neocallimastigomycetes; Neocallimastigales
Description: partial large subunit ribosomal RNA
Rfam family: Eukaryotic large subunit ribosomal RNA
Source: RNAcentral